RNAcentral lists this ribosomal RNA (515 nucleotides) under uncultured bacterium. Its description in RNAcentral is "bacterial SSU rRNA". It matches the Rfam family "Bacterial small subunit ribosomal RNA", at positions 32 to 518 of the family's 1533-position model. The record is from RNAcentral.
AACGCUGGCGGCGUGCCUAAUACAUGCAAGUCGGACGGUCUUUCUAUGGAAGCUUGCUUCCACUGAGAAGAUAGUGGCGAACGGGUGAGUAACACGUGGGUAACCUGCCCAUAAGAGGGGGAUAACAUCCGGAAACGGGUGCUAAUACCGCAUAGUUUUCUUGAUCGCAUGAUCGGGAAAGGAAAGACGGCCUUUGUGCUGUCGCUUAUGGAUGGACCCGCGGCGUAUUAGUUAGUUGGUGAGGUAACGGCUCACCAAGACGAUGAUACGUAGCCGACCUGAGAGGGUGAUCGGCCACAUUGGGACUGAGACACGGCCCAAACUCCUACGGGAGGCAGCAGUAGGGAAUCUUCCGCAAUGAACGAAAGUCUGACGGAGCAACGCCGCGUGAGUGAAGAAAAGGGUUUUCGGAUCGUAAAACUCUGUUGUCAGAGAAGAACAAGUUGGAGAGUAACUGCUCCAGCCUUGACGGUAUCUGACCAGAAAGCCACGGCUAACUACGUGCCAGCCGCAGC